GCUCCUUCCAUAUUCUCAUUGAGGUUUAAUUUAGAGCUUUCAGGCUCCUUCUCAUUGAGGUUUCUUUCCAAUUUUUCUUGAUCUGAUUCAUUGGUUAUCUUAUGUUCUUGUUUUUCAGCAUCAUUAUCUGCAUUCAACUGUUCGUCAGGCUUUGGUGGCUCUGCUAUGGCAGCUUCGUCUUCUGUUUCCUUUUCAUCUUGAUUCUCCUGGUAUUAUACCAAUGCGGAUUAGUGACCAGACAGCUGCAAUAAAGCUUGCUAUAUG
Molecule: unclassified non-coding RNA, 264 nt
Filed under: Hevea brasiliensis (rubber tree)
Lineage: Eukaryota; Viridiplantae; Streptophyta; Magnoliopsida; Malpighiales; Euphorbiaceae
Source: RNAcentral